Long non-coding RNA from Tachysurus vachellii, 1531 nucleotides. RefSeq lists it as uncharacterized. The transcript has 3 exons. NCBI's taxonomy places the organism in Eukaryota, Metazoa, Chordata, Actinopteri, Siluriformes, Bagridae. The record is from RefSeq and is a predicted model, not a curated record.
ACAUAAUGGACCCUUUAAAGACGGGAGAAAGAGGGUGGUGGUGGUUGUUAAACAAACCAAUACAGUCACAAGGCUCGCAAACUAUAUUUGAAAUGAACAAAAAAAAAAAAAAAAAAAGAGAGGAAGAAGAAGAUGUGUGAAAGGUAAUGGUCGCAGUACAGGUCUGGACAAGCAUCAUCUGUGGAUGGACAGAAGACAGGUUGAAUCACAGGUGAGGUGUGAGCAGGAGGAAGGUGUGUGCAUGCAUGUGCAGACGUGAGUGAGGAGGGAGCAGGUGUCUUUAGCAGCCUGGUAAACACAGGAAGAAGCUGGGAGUCAAGAAACCCAGAAACAGAGCCACACAGCCCACUGCCUUUGGAUACUGCUGCCCCUAAAGGACAAAAGCACAUUUGUUAAGUCAUCUCUAAGCAACACUGGGGGCGAAAAUAAAAAAAGAAAGUCUGCUUGACUCAAGAUCAUCCACGAUCGUUUUACAUGUCUUACUCAAACAUUUACACAAUGGAGUCAUUAUGAUGGUGAUAAAUUUGUUUAAUGAUGGUGUCAUAACUCUAGCAAGGAGUUGGGAGGAUUUUGUAGCUACAGUAUAAGACACUUAUCAAAUACGAGUUUACGUUCUGCGGUCGAGCAAAGUUUAUCCAUGGUAUACAGAAGCCACCUACAAACUAAACAUUAAUGUCAUGAGAACAACCAGGUCAUGUGAAGUGGGAUUUUUCUUGCCAUCUUUUCACACGCAAGCACACAUGCAUUUUUCCUUUAAAGAUAUUUGCAUACUGCAUGACGGUCCACUUUUUCGUGCUCCAAGCAAAGUGUUGUUUUUUUUUGGAGAAAUGGAAAGUCAUGUGCAGCCAGUCACCAAAAAGCCAAUCCUUGUUUCUGUGAUGAAAGCGGUGUGGGAUGAACAAGAGACUCCAUUUGAAAUUUAAUGAAUGUGUCGAGGGAUCGCGCUGCACAUUAAUAUGAAUUAGAGAUGAACAGAGGAAACCUGGAACCUCACAACACUGUUAAGGACCAUUGAGUUAUCUAUUGUUGUGGAGAUGAGUAGACAUAAGAGGACAGACUUUGGUUUAAAUCUGGUUUGGUUUAAGUCAGGAAAUAAAAGGUAUGAGACAUGUACAUUUUACUGUAGUUCCCAAAGUUCAAGUCCCAUUGUGUCUUUUAACUAAAUGUACAAAAAUGACCUUGUACCUUGAAAGCACAGUGUUUUGGAUUUUAUGUAGAGUGUACUUUGCAAGAAAUUGAGAUGAAGAGGUCAGUUUUCACUAAGGUCAACGGUUCAUUUACAUUUAUUCAUUUAGUCAAUGUUUUAUCCGAACAAAAGAACUCGGGAUUUGAGCUCAACCUUCUGUAAGGUCAUACCACUGAAAUCCCACUUUUAUCAUUUGCUCCAUAUCAUACAAUAAACCUAAGUAAAGAAGUGCAAGUAAAUGAUGAACCUGGAACUAUAAAGGUUCCUGUAAAUGUGAAACUAAAUUAGAGUGUGUAAAAUGUCAGAGGGGGUUCCUGGAAACUGCCCCUAUUUGAACAAAAAUUA